Molecule: ribosomal RNA, 253 nt
Filed under: uncultured bacterium
Lineage: Bacteria
Description: partial 16S ribosomal RNA
Rfam family: Bacterial small subunit ribosomal RNA
Source: RNAcentral
UACGAAGGUCCCAAGCGUUAUCCGGAUUUAUUGGGUUUAAAGGGUGCGUAGGCGGUCUAUUAAGUCAGUGGUGAAAGCCCCAAGCUCAACUUGGGAACUGCCAUUGAUACUGAUGGACUUGAGUACAUUUGAGGUAGGCGGAAUGUGUCAUGUAGCGGUGAAAUGCUUAGAUAUGGCACAGAACACCGAUUGCGAAGGCAGCUCACUAAACUGUAACUGACGCUGAGGCACGAAAGCGUGGGGAGCAAACAGG